This 253-nucleotide ribosomal RNA is filed under the name uncultured bacterium. RNAcentral's name for it is "partial 16S ribosomal RNA". It matches the Rfam family "Bacterial small subunit ribosomal RNA", at positions 524 to 776 of the family's 1533-position model. The record is from RNAcentral.
UACGUAGGGGGCAAGCGUUGUCCGGAAUCAUUGGGCGUAAAGCGCGCGUAGGCGGCCCGGUAAGUCCGCUGUGAAAGUCAAAGGCUCAACCUUUGAAUGUCAGCGGAUACUGCCGGGCUAGAGUCCGGAAGAGGCGAGUGGAACUCCUGGUGUAGCGGUGGAAUGCGCAGAUAUCAGGAGGAACACCGGUGGCGAAGGCGGGUCUCUGGGCCGAAAUUGACGCUGAGGAGCGAAAGCGUGGGGAGCAAACAGG